Non-coding RNA from Pseudonaja textilis, 1518 nucleotides. The record is from RefSeq and is a predicted model, not a curated record. NCBI's taxonomy places the organism in Eukaryota, Metazoa, Chordata, Lepidosauria, Squamata, Elapidae.
GCACCGGCCGGUUACUGAGGACAUUUUUAAAAUCCGCCAAAGUGACUUUUUCCGGAGAAACGGGCAAUUUCACCAGAUAAGGGGUCUCUUCUUCAUCGAUAUGGUAUAUCGCUGCCUAGCGAGACCAGUUCUCUGGAUAUCUUAUAAUGAUUCAGAAACAAAAAUCACAAAUAUCACAAGGUCAUCUCAACACUCUUGCUCCCUUUACUGGAUUUGACCCCAGACUCAAACAGAGUCAGAAGAGCAGGAGGAAGAAGCUAUUCACCCCAAUGAACUUUCCAAGGCCAUUUCAUGGGUACUUUUUUCCUAAACAGUCUAUGCAGAAGUCAAACUUGGCAUUUUACCCCCUCAGUGCUGGACGAUCAAGUAUUGAAGCCAAGCUGAGUGGAAAGAAAAAUAUUAACGUGGCAGAAAGAUCGGAUGGCCAAGUGACCCCAUUUCAAAUUUUGGACAGCAGGCGAUGCUUCGAAGCAAGCCGUAACAAGCGCAAGAGACACACAAAACACUCUCUCCUCUGCUAAACACCCAGCAACGCAAAAGCAAACAAACCAAAAAAAAAAACAACCUCUUGUCCAAACAUCAGUGAGUUUAUUUAGCGUUUUAUUAGCCAGAUCAGGUAGUCAUCAUCAGCAAUACCUCUUUAAAGAGUUCUUCUCAGCGAGCCUUCUAACUGCAAAAGUGAUUUUAGGGAGAAAUAUUCCAGGCACACAUAUUGAUCAAAGCCAGUCCCCACACACCCCUUUUUUCUUUUUCAUUUUGCUAAUAGCCUGUUUAAUGGGGUUUCUGCACCCUGUUUACUCUGAGUAGCUCAACUCCCUCCUUCGAAAGCUAUGUCCUUUCCCUCAAUUCAGCAGAGGUUAAAUACAGGCGAAUGAAUACGUUUCCACCACUGUGUAUACAUAUGAAGAAUCUUGAGUUGGAGGGACACCAGAGGCCAGUUAUUCCAUUCUCCAGCUAAGCGAUAGAAAUUCAGAAUCAAGGAAUCCCCCUUCACCUGGGAGAUCUUAUAGGUUCUUGUACUCUGUCAGUAUAUACAGCCUGUCAUUCCGGGUCUUGCAGUGUCCAAGGAUCACAACCAACCACGGGAUCCUACAUUUUGUCUCCUUUGUGCAGCAGGAGACGGGUGAUUAUCUGUCAUAAUCGCGUGAGGCAAGAGAAAACUGGAAGGAAGAGACCCAUCACCGAGUUGCAGUGGGCUUCCAAAGGAAAACUUCCAAGAAUUCUGCCUCUUUUUUUAAAAUCCCUGUUGCUUCUGAGCCAAAUACUGGGAAGAGCGGGGACAUAUUCUUAGCAGGGGAUUCAAACGAACAGGAGUGAGGAAGGCUUGGAAGCAGCAGCAUAGAUAGAAACUUUAGAUCCAACAGAGGACAUUCUUGUUAUUCCAACGAUCCCAGACUGACAAGUUCAUCUAAUUCAUUUUAUGGCUGGUUCAGACUCCAGGGACUGGCCCAGAUAUACCUCUUAAGCAGACUCUACUACCAAGAGAAGAGCGAAUGGGUUUGGACUCCUGACUCAAAC